AACGAACGCUGGCGGCAGGCUUAACACAUGCAAGUCGAACGGGCCCUUCGGGGUCAGUGGCAGACGGGUGAGUAACGCGUGGGAACGUGCCCUUCAGUUCGGGAUAACCCAGGGAAACUUGGGCUAAUACCGGAUACGUGCGAGAGCAGAAAGAUUUAUCGCUGAAGGAUCGGCCCGCGUCUGAUUAGCUGGUUGGUGGGGUAAUGGCCCACCAAGGCGACGAUCAGUAGCUGGUCUGAGAGGAUGAUCAGCCACAUUGGGACUGAGACACGGCCCAAACUCCUACGGGAGGCAGCAGUGGGGAAUAUUGGACAAUGGGCGCAAGCCUGAUCCGGCCAUGCCGCGUGAGUGAUGAAGGCCUUAGGGUUGUAAAGCUCUUUCGGCGGGGACGAUAAUGACGGUACCCGCAGAAGAAGCCCCGGCUAACUUCGUGCCAGCCGCCGCUGUAA
Molecule: ribosomal RNA, 449 nt
Filed under: uncultured bacterium
Lineage: Bacteria
Description: partial 16S ribosomal RNA
Rfam family: Bacterial small subunit ribosomal RNA
Source: RNAcentral